GAUGAACGCUGGCGGCGUGCCUAAUACAUGCAAGUAGAACGCUGAAGGAGGAGCUUGCUCUUCUGGAUGAGUUGCGAACGGGUGAGUAACGCGUAGGUAACCUGCCUGGUAGCGGGGGAUAACUAUUGGAAACGAUAGCUAAUACCGCAUGACAACAGUUAUUGCAUGAUAACUGUUUAAAAGGGGCAACUGCUCCACUACCAGAUGGACCUGCGUUGUAUUAGCUAGUUGGUGAGGUAACGGCUCACCAAGGCGACGAUACAUAGCCGACCUGAGAGGGUGAUCGGCCACACUGGGACUGAGACACGGCCCAGACUCCUACGGGAGGCAGCAGUAGGGAAUCUUCGGCAAUGGACGGAAGUCUGACCGAGCAACGCCGCGUGAGUGAAGAAGGUUUUUGGAUCGUAAAGCUCUGUUGUAAGAGAAGAACGAGUGUGAGAGUGGAAAGUUCACACUGUGACGGUAUCUUACCAGAAAGGGACGGCUAACUACGU
This 494-nucleotide ribosomal RNA is filed under the name uncultured bacterium. Its description in RNAcentral is "partial 16S ribosomal RNA". It matches the Rfam family "Bacterial small subunit ribosomal RNA", at positions 28 to 506 of the family's 1533-position model. The record is from RNAcentral.